RNAcentral lists this ribosomal RNA (497 nucleotides) under uncultured bacterium. RNAcentral describes it as "partial 16S ribosomal RNA". It matches the Rfam family "Bacterial small subunit ribosomal RNA", at positions 28 to 507 of the family's 1533-position model. The record is from RNAcentral.
GAUGAACGCUGGCGGCGUGCCUAAUACAUGCAAGUCGAGCGAACAGACGAGGAGCUUGCUCCUCUGACGUUAGCGGCGGACGGGUGAGUAACACGUGGAUAACCUACCUAUAAGACUGGGAUAACUUCGGGAAACCGGAGCUAAUACCGGAUAAUAUAUUGAACCGCAUGGUUCAAUAGUGAAAGACGGUUUUGCUGUCACUUAUAGAUGGAUCCGCGCCGCAUUAGCUAGUUGGUAAGGUAACGGCUUACCAAGGCAACGAUGCGUAGCCGACGUGAGAGGGUGAUCGGCCACACUGGAACUGAGACACGGUCCAGACUCCUACGGGAGGCAGCAGUAGGGAAUCUUCCGCAAUGGGCGAAAGCCUGACGGAGCAACGCCGCGUGAGUGAUAGAGGUCUUCGGAUCGUAAAACUCUGUUAUUAGGGAAGAACAAAUGUGUAAGUAACUAUGCACGUCUUGACGGUACCUAAUCAGAAAGCCACGGCUAACUACGUG